Pongo abelii (Sumatran orangutan) is the source of this 148-nucleotide unclassified non-coding RNA. It matches the Rfam family "Metazoan signal recognition particle RNA". From Rfam's summary of the family: The signal recognition particle (SRP) is a universally conserved ribonucleoprotein. It is involved in the co-translational targeting of proteins to membranes. The record is from Ensembl. Lineage: Eukaryota; Metazoa; Chordata; Mammalia; Primates; Hominidae.
GCCGGGCUCGGUGGCAGGCGCCUGUAAUCCCAGCUACUCAGGAGGCUGAGGCAGGAGAAUUGCUUGAACCCAGGAGGUGGGGGUUACAGUGAGCCGAGAUCGUGCCACUGCACUCCAGCCUGGGUGACAGAGCAAGACUCUGUCUCAA